This 879-nucleotide ribosomal RNA is filed under the name uncultured bacterium. Its description in RNAcentral is "bacterial SSU rRNA". It matches the Rfam family "Bacterial small subunit ribosomal RNA", at positions 8 to 916 of the family's 1533-position model. The record is from RNAcentral.
AGAGUUUGAUCCUGGCUCAGGAUGAACGCUGGCGGCGUGCCUAACACAUGCAAGUCGAGCGAUCUUCUUCGGAAGAGAGCGGCGGACGGGUGAGUAACGCGUGGGUAACCUGCCUCAUACACAUGGAUAACAUACCGAAAGGUAUGCUAAUACAAGAUGAUAUAAGAGAUUCGCAUGGAUUUCUUAUCAAAGCUCCGGCGGUAUGAGAUGGACCCGCGUCUGAUUAGCUAGUUGGUAAGGUAACGGCUUACCAAGGCGACGAUCAGUAGCCGACCUGAGAGGGUGAUCGGCCACACUGGAACUGAGACACGGUCCAAACUCCUACGGGAGGCAGCAGUGGGGAAUAUUGCACAAUGGGCGAAAGCUUGAUGCAGCAACGCCGCGUGAGCGAUGAAGGCCUUCGGGUCGUAAAGCUCUGUCCUCAAGGAAGAUAAUGACGGUACUUGAGGAGGAAGCCCCGGCUAACUACGUGCCAGCAGCCGCGGUAAUACGUAGGGGGCUAGCGUUAUCCGGAUUUACUGGGCGUAAAGGGUGCGUAGGUGGUUUCUUAAGUCAGGAGUGAAAGGCUACGGCUCAACCGUAGUAAGCUCUUGAAACUGGGAAACUUGAGUGCAGGAGAGGAAAGUGGAAUUCCUAGUGUAGCGGUGAAAUGCGUAGAUAUUAGGAGGAACACCAGUAGCGAAGGCGGCUUUCUGGACUGUAACUGACACUGAGGCACGAAAGCGUGGGGAGCAAACAGGAUUAGAUACCCUGGUAGUCCACGCCGUAAACGAUGAGUACUAGGUGUCGGGGGUUACCCCCCUCGGUGCCGCAGCUAACGCAUUAAGUACUCCGCCUGGGGAGUACGCUCGCAAGAGUGAAACUCAAAGGAAUUGACGG